GAUGAACGCUGGCGGCGUGCUUAACACAUGCAAGUCGAACGGUGAAGCCCAGCUUGCUGGGUGGAUCAGUGGCGAACGGGUGAGUAACACGUGAGCAAUCUGCCCCUGACUCUGGGAUAAGCGCUGGAAACGGCGUCUAAUACUGGAUAUGAACCGUGGAGGCAUCUUCAACGGUUGGAAAGAUUUUUUGGUCAGGGAUGAGCUCGCGGCCUAUCAGCUUGUUGGUGAGGUAAUGGCUCACCAAGGCGUCGACGGGUAGCCGGCCUGAGAGGGUGACCGGCCACACUGGGACUGAGACACGGCCCAGACUCCUACGGGAGGCAGCAGUGGGGAAUAUUGCACAAUGGGCGCAAGCCUGAUGCAGCAACGCCGCGUGAGGGAUGACGGCCUUCGGGUUGUAAACCUCUUUUAGCAGGGAAGAAGCGAAAGUGACGGUACCUGCAGAAAAAGCGCCGGCUAACUACGUGCCAGCAGCCGCGGUAAUACGUAGGGCGCAAGCGUUAUCCGGAAUUAUUGGGCGUAAAGAGCUCGUAGGCGGUCUGUCGCGUCUGCUGUGAAAUCCCGAGGCUCAACCUCGGGUCUGCAGUGGGUACGGGCAGACUAGAGUGCGGUAGGGGAGAUUGGAAUUCCUGGUGUAGCGGUGGAAUGCGCAGAUAUCAGGAGGAACACCGAUGGCGAAGGCAGAUCUCUGGGCCGUAACUGACGCUGAGGAGCGAAAGGGUGGGGAGCAAACAGGCUUAGAUACCCUGGUAGUCCACCCCGUAAACGUUGGGAACUAGUUGUGGGGUCCAUUCCACGGAUUCCGUGACGCAGCUAACGCAUUAAGUUCCCCGCCUGGGGAGUACGGCCGCAAGGCUAAAACUCAAAGGAAUUGACGGGGACCCGCACAAGCGGCGGAGCAUGCGGAUUAAUUCGAUGCAACGCGAAGAACCUUACCAAGGCUUGACAUAUACGAGAACGCUGCAGAAAUGUAGAACUCUUUGGACACUCGUAAACAGGUGGUGCAUGGUUGUCGUCAGCUCGUGUCGUGAGAUGUUGGGUUAAGUCCCGCAACGAGCGCAACCCUCGUUCUAUGUUGCCAGCACGUAAUGGUGGGAACUCAUGGGAUACUGCCGGGGUCAACUCGGAGGAAGGUGGGGAUGACGUCAAAUCAUCAUGCCCCUUAUGUCUUGGGCUUCACGCAUGCUACAAUGGCCGGUACAAAGGGCUGCAAUACCGUAAGGUGGAGCGAAUCCCAAAAAGCCGGUCCCAGUUCGGAUUGAGGUCUGCAACUCGACCUCAUGAAGUCGGAGUCGCUAGUAAUCGCAGAUCAGCAACGCUGCG
Molecule: ribosomal RNA, 1323 nt
Filed under: uncultured bacterium
Lineage: Bacteria
Description: bacterial SSU rRNA
Rfam family: Bacterial small subunit ribosomal RNA
Source: RNAcentral